RNAcentral lists this ribosomal RNA (253 nucleotides) under uncultured bacterium. RNAcentral's name for it is "partial 16S ribosomal RNA". It matches the Rfam family "Bacterial small subunit ribosomal RNA", at positions 524 to 776 of the family's 1533-position model. The record is from RNAcentral.
UACGUAGGGUGCAAGCGUUAAUCGGAAUUACUGGGCGUAAAGCGUGCGCCGGCGGUUGUGCAAGACCGAUGUGAAAUCCCCGGGCUUAACCUGGGAAUGGCAUUGGUGACUGCACGGCUAGAGUGUGUCAGAGGGGGGUAGAAUUCCACGUGUAGCAGUGAAAUGCGUAGAGAUGUGGAGGAAUACCGAUGGCGAAGGCAGCCCCCUGGGAUAACACUGACGCUCAUGCACGAAAGCGUGGGGAGCAAACAGG